Long non-coding RNA from Scophthalmus maximus (turbot), 436 nucleotides. RefSeq lists it as uncharacterized. The transcript is spliced from 3 exons. The record is from RefSeq and is a predicted model, not a curated record. NCBI's taxonomy places the organism in Eukaryota, Metazoa, Chordata, Actinopteri, Pleuronectiformes, Scophthalmidae.
ACUGGUUCCGUUCUGGGUUAUUUGAAUUUUGGAGCUGUAGUUUCCUUCAGUUUUGAGCAGAGCCGUUGUAACCAUGGACACGUCUUCCAAGGGCCACACAACAGAAGGAUGUUCAACAGAAGUGGCAAGAUGGAGGGGUGCAUCGAUUACCAACUUCUCAUCUUCAUACGGAAAUGUAGAAGACUGUUACGUGCAAGACAAGUGCUUUCAGGUGGCUGUGGGUGUUGAGGGGUGAUCCGUGGCCUAAUGCUUCUUGGACGCAAGUUGGGGCUCAAUCAGCCCCGACUGGUUCGCACUGAUGAUGCGUCCCAGUGCAUCCAUAGGAUAAAUCUUUCAACUGCACGCUUGACCAAUAUGUUUUCUCCCUCCUCUCACCUUUGCUUCUCCAGGGGCAGACUGGGGUCCACUCUAGCUUCAUCCCCAUCCAGUGGGGCAC